RNAcentral lists this ribosomal RNA (254 nucleotides) under uncultured bacterium. Its description in RNAcentral is "partial 16S ribosomal RNA". It matches the Rfam family "Bacterial small subunit ribosomal RNA", at positions 524 to 776 of the family's 1533-position model. The record is from RNAcentral.
CACGUAGGCACCAAGCGUUGUCCGGAUUUCUUGGGCGUAAAGAGCUCGUAGGCGGUUCAGUAAGUCGGGUGUGAAAACUCUGGGCUCAACCCAGAGACGCCACCCGAUACUGCUGUGACUUGAGUACGGUAGGGGAGUGGGGAAUUCCUGGUGUAGCGGUGAAAUGCGCAGAUAUCAGGAGGAACACCAGUGGCGAAGGCGCCACUCUGGGCCGUAACUGACGCUGAGGAGCGAAAGCGUGGGUAGCAAACAGG